GACGAACGCUGGCGGCGUGCUUAACACAUGCAAGUCGAACGGAAAGUCCCUGCUUUGGGGGGGUGCGCGAGUUGCGAACGGGUGAGUAGCACUUAAGUUACCUGCCCUUGACUUUGGGAUAACUUCAGGAAACUGGGGGUAAUACCGGAUAGGAGCUCCUGCUGCAUGGUGGGGGUGGGAAAGUUUCGGCGGUUGGGGUUGGACUCGCGGCUUAUCAGCUUGAUGGUGGGGUAGUGGCUUACCAAGGCUUUGACGCGUAGCCUGGCGGAGAGGGUGACCGGCCCAAUUGCACUUGGACUGCGACACAGACUCCUACGGGAGGCAGCACUGGGGUAUAUUGCACAAUGGAGUGAGCCCUAAUGCAGCACCGCCGUGUGCGGGAUGAAGGCCAUCGCUUUGUAUUCCGCUUCCCCCUGUCACGAAGCGUGAGUGACGGUAAUGGGUAAAUAAGCACCGGCUAACUCCGUG
This 468-nucleotide ribosomal RNA is filed under the name uncultured bacterium. Its description in RNAcentral is "partial 16S ribosomal RNA". It matches the Rfam family "Bacterial small subunit ribosomal RNA", at positions 28 to 507 of the family's 1533-position model. The record is from RNAcentral.